GGGCGGUUAGCUCAGUUGGCUAGAGCGCAUCGUUCACACCGAUGAGGUCGCUGGUUCGAGUCCAGUACCGCCCAC
This 75-nucleotide transfer RNA is filed under the name Mucisphaera calidilacus. RNAcentral describes it as "Planctomycetes bacterium Pan265 tRNA-Val". It matches the Rfam family "tRNA". Rfam says of the family: Transfer RNA (tRNA) molecules are approximately 80 nucleotides in length. Their secondary structure includes four short double-helical elements and three loops (D, anti-codon, and T loops). Lineage: Bacteria; Pseudomonadati; Planctomycetota; Phycisphaerae; Phycisphaerales; Phycisphaeraceae. The record is from RNAcentral.